AGGAAGAGGGUGGGACACAGGAGAGGCUGGCACACACUGCCUCUCACACUGAAGGAAGAGAGGGCGAGACACGGGGGUGUUAGACUGUGGAGACAGGGACAGCACAGCUUCCUUAAAGCUACAGCCUACCUGGACCUCUGGAAUCUCGGAAAGGUUUGCUACACAUGCACAAACAUGAGAUAAUGCUGCCAUCUCCUGGUACAAAGACCCCAGCUCCACCAAAAGGAGCCCUCCAACCCCAAGGAUUAGCUGGCACUGACAACAGCAGGGCAGAUCAUUACGUGAGAGGAGCAUCUGACAAGGCUGUGAUCUGCUUUCUCCAGGCAACAUGGCCAAGCACCAGCGCUGGGAAGCACAGACCCUUGCUUUUGCUUUAUAAGCACAGGCAAGUUUAAUUCCUCCAAGGCCUGUGAGACAGGCAAGGGAGCGGGCCAAGCUCAGGCUCCCCCCAACCCCACCCCAGGUUCCGCAGCUGGUGAAGGCAUGGGAUUUGAAUCCAGGAACCGACUCCGGGCAGCCGUUACACUGUAAUGUUCCCCACAUCAUGCAGCCCAACUUUAACCCAGGCUUAACUGACUGGAAGGAAGCAGUGCCAUAAUUAACAGACACUCGGUGUGUGAGGGAACAGAGCUAAGGUCCGAGAGGAACCUCAGCCAUCUGUGAUGAAAUCAGACGUUCAACCUCUGAGCAGCCACGACAGAUGGCCAGCCAUAUGUAAGCAGUCACACCAUCUUUUGAUUGAAUAUGAUUUCAAAUUCUAAAUUUUGACAUUUAUUGUUUUAAGAAAAACAAGUUUGCUGUGAUAUAUUUUGCAAUGUUAACAAACAUUAAGUGGAGUCUGUCUCUCUGCGUGAGUGGUACUGGCCACUUCACUUAAGCAUGCUGAGUAAAUAAGUCAUAGGCUGCACUGCUCACACAUGGCUGUCUCGGAGGUCCCAAAGCAAUCCCUCAUGUGUUUGGGCUCUCCGGAGGUGGCAAAAAAAAACUACUAAAGCACUUACAAGAUAAUCAGUGCAUUCUGAAACUAUAGUAAGAAUUUUAUGUUGACAAAUUAUAAGAUGGAUAGCUUCCUUAUUAGUUGUGCGCCUUUAUAAACCGAAUAAUCACCUAAUUUCUCAAGUUCUAUUUUAAUAGAAUCUGAGAUGAAUAGCAUGGCAAACUGUAGCAAACUGUCAUAAGAUAAUAACCAGAUGGUCAAGUAAGAUGCCGAGGGUAACAGGACUAUGGUUGUCACACCCACUCCAGUGGAGUCUGCAUGACAAGUCCAAAAGCUUGGCCAUAGUCCUGAGGCAAAAAGUUUCAUGGAAACUGGUCUCCUGGAGUUCUUGACAUCUAGGAACACAGAUGUGGCCCAGAUUUGUCCUUGUGAUAGUUGGUGGAGGGUUUUGCGUGGGUUUUUGGGGGUUUUUUUGUUUGUUUGUUUUUUGGGUUUUUUUUUUUUUGGUAUUGUUUUAUUAUAUAGGUGUCCCCAAGAAAUAAUGUAACAAAUAGCCAUGUUAGAUUGAACAUUGUUUUGGGGGUUUUUUUGUUUUUGUUAUUUUUUUGUUUUUUGUUUUUUGUUUUUUUUUUUUUUUUGCCUCCACUGGUGUCCCAACAUCUUAGUUAAUCGUUAAGCCAAUCCUGGGCUUGGAAUUUAAUAAGAAUGUUGCUUAUUUAGAUGAAAUGUCUCUAGUGUUGAAAGAGAGAUAGUGAAAGAAAUCUCAGGGCAAGUAAACUUAGAAUUCUCAUUACAGUCAGGUAUGGCAGACUACAUUACAUAAUAGAAGAAAGUUGGUGGGCUCCUCUGAUAAAUGGAGGUUCCCUACAGAUAGUUAGAAUUAUAGCUAAGUCACUCCCAUAUGUAAGAAUUUACAAUGGUCUAGAAAGAAGGUGGGCUGUGGUUUAAGGAGGAACUAGAGUAUUGUAUUAUUUAUAAAAAGGGUAGUAAAAACAGAACCCCCCUGGUACAUGCUUUUACUAGGCCCAGAGGAAUAACAUAAUUAGGUGCUUACUAAGGGACCCCUGGUGGUGAGUUAUACAAUAGACUAGAACUGGCUAGGGUGUGAAGCCCUCGAACCUGGCUCCUAAAAGUAGCUAACUUUAGAUAGGGCUGAUUAUCUCCCUUGUAAACACUGCCUGGUUCCUGCCAGUUUUUAUGUAUGUAUUUCCUCUGUUUUGUGUAAAGAGUCAUUAUACAUCAGAGGACCUCAAUGUAUCUUGUCUGGUGUAUUGCCUAACUUCUAUGUUUUCUUCUAUAAUAACUAUAUAAGUCUGAUGCUCACUUUGAGAAAUUACACUCAGAUUCAGCACUCUCUUA
Long non-coding RNA from Mus musculus (house mouse), 2296 nucleotides. RefSeq annotates it as predicted gene, 40181. The transcript has 2 exons. NCBI's taxonomy places the organism in Eukaryota, Metazoa, Chordata, Mammalia, Rodentia, Muridae. The record is from RefSeq and is a predicted model, not a curated record.